CCACACGAUCCAAGAUCGACACUUUUUGUGAACUGUAACACUGUAUUGAUCAUCAACUCCAUGUCACCAAUCUUUUUUCUUCGUGAGGGGAGAAAGGCGGCGUGGGCUCAAGUUGUGAUUAGUACCCUUUUAACACCAACUAAACAAAAAUGAACAAUGCAUUGGAACUUAAAUGUUAUGCUACAAGUUCGUCUUGUCAUAACGCUAGAUUGAAAAUUGUAAAA
RNAcentral lists this unclassified non-coding RNA (224 nucleotides) under uncultured fungus. RNAcentral's name for it is "sequence contains ITS1, 5.8S rRNA gene". Lineage: Eukaryota; Fungi. The record is from RNAcentral.